Molecule: non-coding RNA, 119 nt
Organism: Aedes albopictus (Asian tiger mosquito)
Lineage: Eukaryota; Metazoa; Arthropoda; Insecta; Diptera; Culicidae
Source: Rfam
UGCCCAGCAACUCCCCAUCCCUACUUCCUCGUGGUACCAGCCGGAAACUAUGAGCAACCUUAGGGCAGAUCGGAUAACCAACCCCGGUGGGAACUUUGGCCGUAGGCUGACAGGGAAGG